Molecule: ribosomal RNA, 441 nt
Filed under: uncultured bacterium
Lineage: Bacteria
Description: partial 16S ribosomal RNA
Rfam family: Bacterial small subunit ribosomal RNA
Source: RNAcentral
CCUACGGGUGGCAGCAGUGGGGAAUAUUGCACAAUGGGGGAAACCCUGAUGCAGCAACGCCGCGUGGAUGAAGGAGCGUUUCGGCGCGUAAAGCCCUGUCAGCGGGGAAGAAGAAAGACGGUACCCGACCAAGAAGCCCCGGCUAACUACGUGCCAGCAGCCCCGGUAAGACGUAGGGGGCGAGCGUUAUCCGGAAGUACUGGGGGUAAAGGGAGCGUAGACGUCGAGGUAGGCCUGAAGUGGAAGCCCGCGGCCCACGCGCGGAACUGCUUGGGGAACUGUUUUGCUUGAGUAUGGGAGGGGUAAGCGGAAAUCCUGGUGUAGCGGUGAAAUGCGUAGAGAUCAGGAGGAACACCGGUGGCGAAGGCGGCUUACUGGACCAUAACUGACGUUGAGGCUCGAAAGCGUGGGGAGCGAACAGGAUUAGAUACCCCAGUAGUC